AAAUUGAAGAGUUUGAUCAUGGCUCAGAUUGAACGCUGGCGGCAGGCCUAACACAUGCAAGUCGAACGGUAACAGGAAGAAGCUUGCUUCUUUGCUGACGAGUGGCGGACGGGUGAGUAAUGUCUGGGAAACUGCCUGAUGGAGGGGGAUAACUACUGGAAACGGUAGCUAAUACCGCAUAACGUCGCAAGACCAAAGAGGGGGAGCUUCGGGCCUCUUGCCAUCGGAUGUGCCCAGAUGGGAUUAGCUAGUAGGUGGGGUAACGGCUCACCUAGGCGACGAUCCCUAGCUGGUCUGAGAGGAUGACCAGCCACACUGGAACUGAGACACGGUCCAGACUCCUACGGGAGGCAGCAGUGGGGAAUAUUGCACAAUGGGCGCAAGCCUGAUGCAGCCAUGCCGCGUGUAUGAAGAAGGCCUUCGGGUUGUAAAGUACUUUCAGCGGGGAGGAAGGGAGUAAAGUUAAUACCUUUGCUCAUUGACGUUACCC
This 490-nucleotide ribosomal RNA is filed under the name Escherichia coli. RNAcentral's name for it is "bacterial SSU rRNA". It matches the Rfam family "Bacterial small subunit ribosomal RNA", at positions 1 to 480 of the family's 1533-position model. Lineage: Bacteria; Pseudomonadati; Pseudomonadota; Gammaproteobacteria; Enterobacterales; Enterobacteriaceae. The record is from RNAcentral.